GGCUUUAUCAGCCCAAUACCUUCCUGGCCAUGGGAAAAUCAUAACCAUAGAUUUCGUAGGACGAUUUCCCUAUCUCUUAAAGGGGGGAUAACUACGUUUUUUUCGUAGUAGACUUCUUUCCCUUUAUCUCGCUAUUGGUCACUAGUAGAACUCCCCUACUCACUAGAUAUGAUUUAUUGAUUGAUGAACCCUGAUCACUAAGCGCACUUACUUUCACUUUAAGGCUUUAUUGAAAGGAAUGGGGAAUCUUCUUAUUCAUUAAAGGUGAGUUUUCUUACUGGUUCAAGGAA
RNAcentral lists this long non-coding RNA (290 nucleotides) under Gossypium barbadense (sea-island cotton). RNAcentral describes it as "long non-coding RNA (GBAR_LNC007380)". The record is from RNAcentral. Lineage: Eukaryota; Viridiplantae; Streptophyta; Magnoliopsida; Malvales; Malvaceae.